GAAGGUACAAAUGUCAGCCCUCCUGUUCUCCGACCCCUCUGUUUGCAAGUCUCAGUCAUUGUACAUACACACAAACAUGUGUGCGCGCGCGCGCGAGCGUGUGUGCCACCUCACUAUAUAUGAUGUGAUGUAUGCCAUGCCAUGCGGCCUUUAGAACUUGAAACCAAGUAUGUGCGGCGCGCCGGUGUACUUGAGCCACAUGGCGCCGUCGAUGAACGGCCCGGCGGUGAACGGCUCGGCCUCCUUCCGUCCGAUGACGUGGAAGCCGGGCCAGUUGACCCUCUUGCUGGUGCCGGCGCCGGGCCCGCGGUUGUUGUACUCGGCGUAGUAGAGCGUCUUGAGGGCGAAGUCGCCGUUCCAGGGCAUGUACCCCUCUGGCUUGACGAAGUCGGCGAUGGUGCUCUCCAUGAUGACGAGGCGCGAGAACUCCUUCCAGGGGCGGCCCAGGUACGAGGGGAUCUUGAAGCGGUCCGGGAACAGCUUCUGGUCGGGCACCAGGCGGCAGUUCUGGAUGACGAGCCCGGACUUCAUGUUGGGGUCGGUGCGGCCGUGCGCCGUCACCGAGUUCUGCUGGUUGUCCAUGGGCCGCCGCGUGAUGAUGAGGCAGUUCUGGAACACCGCCGCCGAGUUGCCGAAGAUGAAGUCGAUGGUGCCGGAGACCACGCAGUUGCGGAAGAACUGCCGCCGCGCGUGCACGUACAGCGUGUCCUGGAACGCGUCGAACCGGCAGUUGUAGAACGCCGCGAGGUCCCCCUGCACCCGGAGCGCCACCGCCUGGUGCCGCUCCGCGCCGGCCGUGUUGUGGAACCCCAUGUUCUUGCAGAUGAACCCGGACGCCUCGACGGCUGCAUUGCAUUUGCAUGUGACCAACCCCAUGCAUCCGUCAAGUUCUUGCAUGAGACAUGUGGCUAAUUAAUUAAAUGGUGGUAAUUGGUAAAGAACAUCUGCUCACAGAAGGUGGCGGUCUUCAUGGUGGUGAUGCCGUCGGCGAAGCUCUUGCGGCCGGUCACGCGGCUUUGCUUAGGCCCGUCGCCGUACAUGAAGAUGUUGACCUUGUCCUUGGGGACCAUGACGAUCUCGUCGUAGAGGCCGGCCUUCACGUAGAUGACGUACCUCCCCUGAUGGCCCUUGGGCACGGCGUCCACGGCCUGCUGGAUGCUCUUGAACUGCCCGCUGCCGUCCUUGGCCACGAUCGCGUUCGGCUUGGGCUGGUUGCCCGACGCCAGCAGCUUCCUCUCCGGCGACCGCAUCCACACGGGCCAGCCCUUCUCAUCCUGCUCCGACGACAGCAGUCGGCGGCGCGAGUCCUUGCUGAACAUGCCGAGGUCCAUCUUCUUCAGGAUCCCGCCGAGGCUGUUGGUGAUGGCCAGCGCGUUGCUGCUGAGCUCGGUGGCGUUGCGCAGCACGGAGUGCAUGUCGGCCUUGAGCUUCUCGUCGACGAAGCCGUCGACGCAGGUGUCCAUGAACGUCAUGACGCCCGUGAGCCAGGUCUCGAGGUCGUCGGACCGGCUGAACAGCACCUUGAUGUCGCCGCCGGCCAUCUCGAGCAUGCCCCUCAGGUCGUCGGCGGCGUCCUCCAGGAGCUUCUUGCAGUCCUCGCGCGCGCUCUCGGUCAUGGAGUCGCUGGCCUUGGCCUC
This 1637-nucleotide long non-coding RNA is filed under the name Zea mays. RNAcentral's name for it is "long non-coding RNA (ZMAY_LNC000544)". The record is from RNAcentral. Lineage: Eukaryota; Viridiplantae; Streptophyta; Magnoliopsida; Poales; Poaceae.